AGGUAGUAAUUUUAAACCUAUUUAAUACGGCGGCAUUUCAUCUUAUUAGAGGAAUCUGUUUUUUAAUCGAUAACCCACGUUAAUUUUCACUUUAAAUAAAAAUUUAUAUACCGUCAUCUAAAGAAUUAAAUUCCCUAAUUUAUUCUUAAAAAAAAUUAAAAAGAUAGAUCAAGGUGUAAUUCAUAUUAAAGAUAAAAUGGAUUACAUUAAAAAAAUUUAAGAAAUAAAUAUAUUAAUUUUUAAGAAAAAGGAUUUAAAAGUAAUAAUUUAAUAAUAUUUUAUUAUUAAUUAGAUAAUAAAUGUGU
This 305-nucleotide ribosomal RNA is filed under the name Coenypha sp. MR172. RNAcentral describes it as "partial 12S ribosomal RNA". The record is from RNAcentral. Lineage: Eukaryota; Metazoa; Arthropoda; Arachnida; Araneae; Thomisidae.